RNAcentral lists this ribosomal RNA (465 nucleotides) under Vreelandella stevensii. Its description in RNAcentral is "partial 16S ribosomal RNA". It matches the Rfam family "Bacterial small subunit ribosomal RNA", at positions 338 to 795 of the family's 1533-position model. Lineage: Bacteria; Pseudomonadati; Pseudomonadota; Gammaproteobacteria; Oceanospirillales; Halomonadaceae. The record is from RNAcentral.
CCUACGGGAGGCUGCAGUGGGGAAUAUUGGACAAUGGGCGAAAGCCUGAUCCAGCCAUGCCGCGUGUGUGAAGAAGGCCUUCGGGUUGUAAAGCACUUUCAGUGGGGAAGAAAGCCUUGGGGCUAAUACCCUCGAGGAAGGACAUCACCCACAGAAGAAGCACCGGCUAACUCCGUGCCAGCAGCCGCGGUAAUACGGAGGGUGCGAGCGUUAAUCGGAAUUACUGGGCGUAAAGCGCGCGUAGGCGGUCUGAUAAGCCGGUUGUGAAAGCCCCGGGCUCAACCUGGGAACGGCAUCCGGAACUGUCAGGCUAGAGUGCAGGAGAGGAAGGUAGAAUUCCCGGUGGAGCGGUGAAAUGCGUAGAGAUCGGGAGGAAUACCAGUGGCGAAGGCGGCCUUCUGGACUGACACUGACGCUGAGGUGCGAAAGCGUGGGUAGCAAACAGGAUUAGAUACCCCUGUAGUC